UUCGCUCAUAGCGUAUAUUUAGUUGUUGCAGUUAAAAGCUCGUAGUUGGAUUUCGGGUGGGUUCUAGCGGUCCGCUUCGGUGAGUACUGCUAUGGCCUUCCUUUCUACGGGGGACGGGCUCCUGGGAUUAACUUCUCGGGAUCCGGAUUCCGUGAUGAUACUUUGAGUAAAUUGGAGUGUUCAAAGCAAGCCUGCGCUCUGAACAUUUUAGCAUGGAAUAUCACGAUAGGACUCUGGCCUAUCUUGUUGGUCUGUAGGACCAGAGUAAUGAUUAAGAGGGACAGUCGGGGGCAUUCGUAUUUCAUUGUCAGAGGUGAAAUUCUUGGAUUUAUGAAAGACGAACUACUGCGAAAGCAUUUGCCAAGGAUGUUUUCAUUAAUCAAGAACGAAAGUUGGGGGCUCGAAGACGAUUAGAUACCGUCGUAGUCUCAACCAUAAACGAUGCCCAACUAGGGAUCGGA
RNAcentral lists this ribosomal RNA (461 nucleotides) under Botryosphaerella sudetica. Its description in RNAcentral is "SSU rRNA". It matches the Rfam family "Eukaryotic small subunit ribosomal RNA", at positions 587 to 1057 of the family's 1831-position model. The record is from RNAcentral. Lineage: Eukaryota; Viridiplantae; Chlorophyta; Chlorophyceae; Sphaeropleales; Neochloridaceae.